UACGGGGGGGGCAAGCGUUGUUCGGAAUUACUGGGCGUAAAGGGCUCGUAGGUGGCCAACUAAGUCGGACGUGAAAUCCCUCGGCUUAACCGGGGAACUGCGUCUGAUACUGGAUGGCUUGAGUUCGGGAGAGGGAUGCGGAAUUCCAGGUGUAGCGGUGAAAUGCGUAGAUAUCUGGAGGAACACCGGCGGCGAAGGCGGCAUCCUGGACCGAUACUGACGCUGAGGAGCGAAAGCCAGGGGAGCAAACGGG
This 253-nucleotide ribosomal RNA is filed under the name uncultured bacterium. RNAcentral describes it as "partial 16S ribosomal RNA". It matches the Rfam family "Bacterial small subunit ribosomal RNA", at positions 524 to 776 of the family's 1533-position model. The record is from RNAcentral.